AGAGACAGCAGUAGCCGCGGGAAUACAGAGGGUGCAAGCGUUAAUCGGAAUUACUGGGCGUAAAGCGCGCGUAGGUGGUUCGCCAAGUUGGAUGUGAAAUCCCCGGGCUCAACCUGGGAACUGCAUCCAAAACUGGCGAGCUAGAGUAUGGUAGAGGGUGGUGGAAUUUCCUGUGUAGCGGUGAAAUGCGUAGAUAUAGGAAGGAACAUCAGUGGCGAAGGCGACCACCUGGACUGAUACUGACACUGAGGUGCGAAAGCGUGGGGAGCAAACAGGAUUAGAGACCCCCGUAGUCCCUGUCUCUUAUAC
Molecule: ribosomal RNA, 309 nt
Filed under: uncultured bacterium
Lineage: Bacteria
Description: partial 16S ribosomal RNA
Rfam family: Bacterial small subunit ribosomal RNA
Source: RNAcentral